AGCGUUGUUCGGACUUACUGGGCGUCAAGGGCUCGUAGGCGGCCAACUAAGUCAGACGUGAAAUCCCUCGGCUUAACCGGGGAACUGCGUCUGAUACUGGAUGGCUUGAGUUUGGGAGAGGGAUGCGGAAUUCCAGGUGUAGCGGUGAAAUGCGUAGAUAUCUGGAGGAACACCGGUGGCGAAGGCGGCAUCCUGGACCAACACUGACGCUGAGUGAGCGAAAGCCAGGGGAGCAAACGGG
Molecule: ribosomal RNA, 241 nt
Filed under: uncultured bacterium
Lineage: Bacteria
Description: partial 16S ribosomal RNA
Rfam family: Bacterial small subunit ribosomal RNA
Source: RNAcentral